AUAUUGGUCAAUAGCCUAACGGCUGAACCAGCAACUUGGAGGAAUGUAUGGCAAUAGCUGGUUGCAUUAACAAAAAGUUAGUGUAAGAUCGACUCUGUCGAAUAAAAUUCUAGAUAGAAUUUUGAUAAUGACAUUAUCUAUCUAUGUGUCUUGACCAAAUUACGUGCCAGCAGUCGCGGUAAUACGUAAAAGACUAGUGUUAUUCAUCUUUAAUAGGUUUAAAGGGUACUUAGACGGUAAAUCAAGCCCUAAUAGGGAACUAAUAUACUAGAGUUUGAUGUAAGGAAGCAUGAAAGUACUGUUGGUGUAGAGAUAAAAUUCUAUCAUACCAAAUAUGGCACAGGUUUAGGCGAAAGCAUCUUCUUAUGUAAUAACUGACGUUGAAGGACGAAGGCUUUGUGUCUCGAACAGGAUUAGAUACCCCAGUAGUCUAAGCAGACAAUGAUGAAUGUCAUAGAUUAGAUUUAAUUUAUUCUAUAAAUGAAAGUGUAAGCAUUCCACCUCAAGAGUAAUUUGGCAACAUUGGAACUGAAAUCAUUAGACCGUUUCUGAAACCAGUAGUGAAGUAUGUUAUUUAAUUCA
This 582-nucleotide ribosomal RNA is filed under the name Lecidea polypycnidophora. RNAcentral describes it as "SSU rRNA". It matches the Rfam family "Bacterial small subunit ribosomal RNA", at positions 361 to 953 of the family's 1533-position model. Lineage: Eukaryota; Fungi; Ascomycota; Lecanoromycetes; Lecideales; Lecideaceae. The record is from RNAcentral.